This is an RNA transcript of Populus trichocarpa (black cottonwood), 3850 nucleotides long. It is a transcript of the gene named polyadenylation and cleavage factor homolog 4, with no coding region annotated. NCBI's taxonomy places the organism in Eukaryota, Viridiplantae, Streptophyta, Magnoliopsida, Malpighiales, Salicaceae. The transcript is spliced from 8 exons. The record is from RefSeq and is a predicted model, not a curated record.
UCACACUAGUUUGUUUCCUCUAUUUCACACACACACUCUCUCUCUCUCUAGAAAAUAAAAAUUUAAUGCUAUAACCCCUUAAAAUCCCCAAUUCAUAAACCCAAAUUCUCCACAUUCCUUAUCAAAUCUCUCUCUUAAUGGAAACAAAUGCAACCCACAAAACUCCUAAACCCUAAAGCCGCCACCAAGGCGGCUGCUGCGGCAGCCGUUACCACCACCAUGCCAAAUGAACUGCUGGCACAGAAACCAUCAGCAUCGUCAGUUCUUGACAAGUUCCGGUCUUUAUUGAAGCAACGACAAGGAUCAGCAGUGGAGGACGAUGGUGGUGGUGACGGGGCGAGUUUGCGUCUGGAGGAUGUGGUGGAGAUUUAUGAGACGGUUUUGAAUGAAUUGACGUUUAAUUCAAAACCUAUAAUUACAGAUUUGACUAUUAUUGCUGGAGAACAGCGGGAGCAUGGUGAGGGUAUUGCUGAUGUUCUCUGUGCCCGCAUUGUUGAGGCCCCUGUAGAUCAAAAGCUGCCUUCAUUAUAUCUUCUAGAUAGCAUUGUCAAGAAUAUUGGCCGUGAAUACAUUAGGCACUUCUCGUCCCGUUUGCCUGAGGUUUUUUGCGAGGCAUACAGACAAGUUGACCCUAGCUUAUAUCCUUCAAUGCGCCACCUUUUUGGCACAUGGUCCUCAGUGUUUCCAUCUUCUGUACUUCACAAGAUUGAGACUCAACUUCAUUUUUCUCCACAAGUUAAUGAUCAGUCAUCAAGCUUGACUUCCUUUAGAGCUUCUGAAUCACCCAGACCACCUCAUGGCAUACAUGUGAACCCAAAAUACUUGCGUCAGCUGGAUCAUUCAACUGCAGAUAAUACAGGGUGGUCAAUACAAACAUACAAAGCUAAAAAUGUAAUUCAAUCUUUGCAGAAUGUUCAGCACGCUAAGGGAACUUCUUCAAAUCUGAAAAUAUAUGGUAAAAAACCUACUGUUGGAUAUGAUGAAUAUGAAAGUGAUCAAGCAGAGGCCAUAUCUUCACAGGUUGGAGUGGGCCGUACAUCUCUCACUCUUGGAUCUAAUAAGCUGCAACCAUCUUCAACUUCCAGGCUUGCAAGACGCUUGUCGCCUUCAACAACUGGAGCCGAGAGGCCUUUAUCUUCAGAAAUUGAUGACUUUGCAGUAGGGAAUUCUCCUCGAAGGUUUGUUGAGGCGCUGUCCCCAUCUCAUCCUCUAUUUGAUUAUGGACACAGCAGAGCCAUUGUCAGAGAUGAGGAGGCAAAUGAAUUAAGAAGAAAUAAUUAUUCUGAUGAUAACCAUAACCGAUUUGAACCUUCUGCUAGAUAUAGGCUUAGCAAUGGACUUGAACAUCAAGGACCCAGAGCUUUAAUAGAUGCAUAUGGGGAUGAUAGGGGGAAAAGAAUUACAAGUAGUAAACCUCUGCAUAUUGAACAGUUAGCCGUAAAUGGCGUGCACAAUAAGGUAGCUUCAAGAUCAUGGCAGAAUACUGAAGAAGAGGAAUUUGAUUGGGAAGAUAUGAGCCCUACUUUGUCAGAGCGUGGUAGGAGUAAUGAUUUCUUGCCAUCAUCUAUUCCACCUUUUGGAAGUGUUGUUCCAAGGCCUGCCUUUGGAAGGCUAAGUGCUAUCCAUGCGGAAUCUGAUAUCAGGAGCAAUCGAUCUAGUCUGGCUCCAAUGGCAUUUGUGGAUGGCUCCUCUAAUAUUGCUGAAGAAGCAGUCUCGAUUCUGGGUUCUGGCCGUGGAUCAACAAGCAAGAUUCCUGGAUUCCGAACUGAGAGAAAUCAGAUCUCGGGUUCCCGUCAUCAUCAAGAAGCUUGGAAUUUUCCACCUCACAUCCAUCAGUCAGCACAUCUCCUGAAUUCUAAAGGAAGAGGACGGGAUUUCCAGAUGCCCUUAUCUGGAAGUGGUGUGUCUUCUUUGGGUGGUGAGAAUUACUCUCCACUUGCUGAAAAACUUCCAGAUAUUGAUGCACAGCUUAAUAGGCCUCCUGCCAUUGCAUCAAGAUGGGGCUCUAAUAUUGACUCUACUAGUUCAGGGACCUGGUCAAGUGUUGCGCCACCAUCAUCAGGGGUCUGGCCUCCAGUAAAUGCACGAAAGUCUCUGCCACCUCCUGUGCAUCGUAUUUUUCCUCCACCAGAGCAGAGUAGAAGUCAGUUUGAUCCAAUAAAUGCCAGCAGCACUGUCAUAAAUCAGGUUUUACAAAAGGGUUCAGUUAUGCCUGAACAACCAUUUAAUAGUUUUGAGAACAAAGAUUACAAUUCGAUGAAGCCAACACCAAUGUCUAAUCAGCAUGCUGCUUUGAAUCAGCAAAACCAGGCACAUGUAAAUCCUUUUCAGCCACAACAACUUCCAUCUCAUGAAGCCCGAGAGAAUUUUCAUCCAUCUGGGGUAACUUCAAUGCCACCUCGUCCCCUGGCACCACCACUGAAUCAUGGAUACAACACUCACGGGCAUAGCACUGCCAUUAGUAUGGUUCCUUCAAAUGCAUUACCUGCUGUACAACUGCCUUUACCAGUCAACAAUAUUCCAAAUAUGUUGCAUUCACAGGUGGGGGUUCGGCCACCUUUGCCACCUGGUCCUCCUCCCCAAACAAUGCCUUUCCCUCAGAAUGCUAGUUCAGGUGUCCCCGGCCAACCAUCUGGCAGUGCAUUUUCGGGUUUGUUUAACUCUCUCAUGGCACAAGGAUUGAUCUCAUUGACAAAACAAACUCCUGUGCAGGACUCUGUGGGACUUGAGUUCAAUGCUGACCUUCUCAAGCUGCGCUAUGAAUCUGCAAUCAGUGCAUUGUAUGGUGAUCUGCCAAGACAAUGCACAACAUGUGGCCUUCGGUUCAAGUGUCAAGAAGAGCACAGUACUCACAUGGAUUGGCAUGUUACGAAAAACCGGAUGUCUAAGAACCGGAAGCAGAAAUCUUCUCGCAACUGGUUUGUAAGUGCAAGUAUGUGGCUCAGUGGUGCAGAGGCAUUGGGAACUGAUGCAGCUCCUGGUUUUUUGCCCACUGAGACCACUGUGGAGAAGAAGGACGAUGAUGAAAUGGCUGUUCCUGCUGACGAAGAGCAGAGUACAUGUGCAUUAUGUGGAGAGCCUUUUGAUGAUUUCUACAGUGAUGAAACUGAGGAAUGGAUGUAUAGAGGAGCUGUCUACCUGAAUUCAUCUAAUGGAUCAACAGCAGGCAUGGAUAGGUCUCAGUUAGGUCCUAUAGUACAUGCUAAAUGCAGAUCCGAUUCUAGUGUGGUUCCCCCUGAAGAUUUUGGACAUGAUGAAGGGGGAAAUUCUGAAGAGGGUAAUCAAAGAAAACGAAUGCGGAGCUAACCUUUAUUAGAUCGGCUUCCAAGUCUCAUGUAACUUUGAGUUUCAUCAUGUUAGUGAUUUGCUGCUGGGUGCUUAUAAUGCUGAAAAGAAUGUGAUGUGGAACGGACGAAUGGUAGCCUUUUAUUCCGAGGACACCCAGUAGAAUCUACUGUAAUUAUUAGACUGCUGGGUUGUCUACUCUUUGCAGAUUGUUUUGAUUUUCUGCAGGGACUGCAAACAUCUCCAGUUAUUCACAUUCAGUUUAUUCUCUUGAAGGCUGGAACGUCGCAUAAUAAGCUUAGUUCCUCCCAAAUUGAUGGAUUGGUGGCAGCAAAAGCACUCUUUGCCUUUUCCUGGUGUUGAUUAUCUGUAUUUGUUGAAUUACAUCAUUUCUAUUUGAAGUAGAGUACUAAUGCUACUAUCUUAAAAUAUCCUUUCUGGAUGGUUUUUCUGAAAUGAUGCCAUAAGGAAUUUGCUUGAUAGCUGAUAUUAUGCUGUAUUCCCUAGUUUGGGAUGGAUCUUUUGAGAUCACCUCUGGACUAUGCUUAUCAACUUCAAUUCUUUC